Molecule: ribosomal RNA, 335 nt
Filed under: Staphylococcus warneri
Lineage: Bacteria; Bacillati; Bacillota; Bacilli; Caryophanales; Staphylococcaceae
Description: bacterial SSU rRNA
Rfam family: Bacterial small subunit ribosomal RNA
Source: RNAcentral
UUGCUCCUUUGACGUUAGCGGCGGACGGGWGAGUAACACGUGGWUAACCUACCUAUAAGACUGGGAUAACUUCGGGAAACCGGAGCUAAUACCGGAUAACAUAUUGAACCGCAUGGUUCAAUAGUGAAAGGCGGCUUUGCUGUCACUUAUAGAUGGAUCCGCGCCGUAUUAGCUAGUUGGUAAGGUAACGGCUUACCAAGGCAACGAUACGUAGCCGACCUGAGAGGGUGAUCGGCCACACUGGAACUGAGACACGGUCCAGACUCCUACGGGAGGCAGCAGUAGGGAAUCUUCCGCAAUGGGCGAAAGCCUGACGGAGCAACGCCGCGUGAGUG